GUGCUUGCUUUGGCAGCACAGAUACUAAAAACUGGAACAAUGCAGAAAAUUAGCAUCGUCCCUGUGCAACGAUGACAUGAAAUUCAUGAAGCGUUCCACAUUUUU
Molecule: small nuclear RNA, 105 nt
Filed under: Heterocephalus glaber (naked mole-rat)
Lineage: Eukaryota; Metazoa; Chordata; Mammalia; Rodentia; Bathyergidae
Source: RNAcentral